AGAAACUGCCCUUCCUUUAGAUAGAGAUUGCAUAGAAAAAGAUAGCAGAUAAGCUCCUUCUCCUGAGCUCUUUACCACAAGGUUCUUUCGUUGGAGGAAUUUGUUUGAAUUAUUUGUUUUUGUUCGCUGGGACUAGAACUGAGAGUGUCUGUCCUUUGAUGCCGAUUCAAGUUAUUGGUAGAUGUCCUGCAUCAGUUGGAAUAAUCAACAAUCCGUAAAUGGAAAUACAUAAGGUUCCGACAGUACUUUGUUGGACUGCAAGCAUUAGAUUGGUGUCUUCUGGUUACAGCUGUGGCUGGAAUUUUGGUCUUUCAGCAGCUGCGGUAGCACUGGUUCUUGGAAAGUGUAUUUUAGAUGCUCAUUAGUCCUGCUGUGCCUGGGCUGUUGUAAGAUGUACAUUUGUUGUAGCAAGCUUUGCAGAAAAUGAGCUGACUAUAUUCUUGCAAGUAUGUCUAAUCAGUAAACUUGCUAAUAUCUAGCUGAAUAUCUUAUGAUGUGUAUCAUCUUUCUCACAAGAUUCGGUCAUUGGGGACGACCAUGUAAUUGUAUAACAUCUUGAGCAUUGAAGGUUC
This is a long non-coding RNA of Hibiscus syriacus, 572 nucleotides long. RefSeq lists it as uncharacterized. Lineage: Eukaryota; Viridiplantae; Streptophyta; Magnoliopsida; Malvales; Malvaceae. The record is from RefSeq and is a predicted model, not a curated record. The transcript has 2 exons.